Non-coding RNA from Mycena olivaceomarginata, 100 nucleotides. The record is from the annotation of a GenBank genome assembly. Lineage: Eukaryota; Fungi; Basidiomycota; Agaricomycetes; Agaricales; Mycenaceae.
UGCCCCCUGGCCCAGCUGGUUAAGGCGCAAGACUGUUAGGAUACUUCGUUUCGACGGUAGUUCAAUCUUGAGAUCGUGAGUUCGAUCCUCACGGGGGCAG